RNAcentral lists this ribosomal RNA (442 nucleotides) under uncultured bacterium. RNAcentral's name for it is "bacterial SSU rRNA". It matches the Rfam family "Bacterial small subunit ribosomal RNA", at positions 340 to 774 of the family's 1533-position model. The record is from RNAcentral.
UACGGAAGGCAGCAGUGGGGAAUAUUGCACAAUGGGCGCAAGCCUGAUGCAGCCAUGCCGCGUGUAUGAAAAAGGCCUUCGGGUUGUAAAGUACUUUCAGUCGUGAGGAAGGUGUUAAGGUUAAUAACCUUAGCAAUUGACGUUAGCGACAGAAGAAGCACCGGCUAACUCCGUGCCAGCAGCCGCGGUAAUACGGAGGGUGCGAGCGUUAAUCGGAAUUACUGGGCGUAAAGGGCACGCAGGCGGUUAAUUAAGUUGGAUGUGAAAUCCCCGGGCUUAACCUGGGAAUGGCAUUCAAGACUGGUUAGCUAGAGUCUUGUAGAGGGGGUAGAAUUCCAUGUGUAGCGGUGAAAUGCGUAGAGAUGUGGAGGAAUACCGGUGGCGAAGGCGGCCCCUGGGACAAAGGACUGACGCUCAUGUGCGAAAGCGUGGGGAGCAAACG